RNAcentral lists this ribosomal RNA (495 nucleotides) under uncultured bacterium. RNAcentral describes it as "bacterial SSU rRNA". It matches the Rfam family "Bacterial small subunit ribosomal RNA", at positions 28 to 516 of the family's 1533-position model. The record is from RNAcentral.
GAUGAACGCUAGCGGCAGGCUUAAUACAUGCAAGUCGUGGGGCAGCGCAGUGUAGCAAUACAUGGGCGGCGACCGGCAAACGGGUGCGGAACACGUACGCAACCUUCCUUUAAGUGGGGGAUAGCCCAGGGAAACUUGGAUUAAUACCCCGUAAUACUAUGAAGUGGCAUCACUUUAUUAAUUAUAGCUCCGGCGCUUAAAGAUGGGCGUGCGCCUGAUUAGGUAGUUGGCGGGGUAACGGCCCACCAAGCCUUCGAUCAGUAACUGGUGUGAGAGCACGACCAGUCACACGGGCACUGAGACACGGGCCCGACUCCUACGGGAGGCAGCAGUAAGGAAUAUUGGUCAAUGGACGCAAGUCUGAACCAGCCAUGCCGCGUGGAGGAUGAAGGUCCUCUGGAUUGUAAACUUCUUUUAUUUGGGAAGAAACCCACGAUUUCUAUUGUGGUUGACGUACCAGAUGAAUAAGCACCGGCUAACUCCGUGCCAGCAGCC